RNAcentral lists this ribosomal RNA (653 nucleotides) under Escherichia coli. Its description in RNAcentral is "partial 23S ribosomal RNA". It matches the Rfam family "Bacterial large subunit ribosomal RNA", at positions 1232 to 1869 of the family's 2925-position model. The record is from RNAcentral. Lineage: Bacteria; Pseudomonadati; Pseudomonadota; Gammaproteobacteria; Enterobacterales; Enterobacteriaceae.
GGGAGCGUUCUGUAAGCCUGUGAAGGUGUGCUGUGAGGCAUGCUGGAGGUAUCAGAAGUGCGAAUGCUGACAUAAGUAACGAUAAAGCGGGUGAAAAGCCCGCUCGCCGGAAGACCAAGGGUUCCUGUCCAACGUUAAUCGGGGCAGGGUGAGUCGACCCCUAAGGCGAGGCCGAAAGGCGUAGUCGAUGGGAAACAGGUUAAUAUUCCUGUACUUGGUGUUACUGCGAAGGGGGGACGGAGAAGGCUAUGUUGGCCGGGCGACGGUUGUCCCGGUUUAAGCGUGUAGGCUGGUUUUCCAGGCAAAUCCGGAAAAUCAAGGCUGAGGCGUGAUGACGAGGCACUACGGUGCUGAAGCAACAAAUGCCCUGCUUCCAGGAAAAGCCUCUAAGCAUCAGGUAACAUCAAAUCGUACCCCAAACCGACACAGGUGGUCAGGUAGAGAAUACCAAGGCGCUUGAGAGAACUCGGGUGAAGGAACUAGGCAAAAUGGUGCCGUAACUUCGGGAGAAGGCACGCUGAUAUGUAGGUGAAGUCCCUCGCGGAUGGAGCUGAAAUCAGUCGAAGAUACCAGCUGGCUGCAACUGUUUAUUAAAAACACAGCACUGUGCAAACACGAAAGUGGACGUAUACGGUGUGACGCCUGCCCGGUGC